Molecule: ribosomal RNA, 665 nt
Filed under: Ceratocystis fimbriata
Lineage: Eukaryota; Fungi; Ascomycota; Sordariomycetes; Microascales; Ceratocystidaceae
Description: eukaryotic LSU rRNA
Rfam family: 5.8S ribosomal RNA (bases 262-415)
Source: RNAcentral
UCUUGGUCAUUUAGAGGAAGUAAAAGUCGUAACAAGGUCUCCGUUGGUGAACCAGCGGAGGGAUCAUUACUGAGUUUUUGUACUCUAUAAACCAUGUGUGAACGUACCCUAUCUUGUAGUGAGAUGAAUGCUGUUUUGGUGGUAGGGCCCUUCUGAAGAGAGGGCACCGCUGCCAGCAGUAUUAGUCUUCGCCACUGUAAACUCUUUUUAUUAUUUUCUAGAUUUUUCAUUGCUGAGUGGCAUAACUAUAAAAAAAGUUAAAACUUUCAACAACGGAUCUCUUGGCUCUAGCAUCGAUGAAGAACGCAGCGAAAUGCGAUAAGUAAUGUGAAUUGCAGAAUUCAGUGAAUCAUCGAAUCUUUGAACGCACAUUGCGCCUGGCAGUAUUCUGCCAGGCAUGCCUGUCCGAGCGUCAUUUCACCACUCAAGACUCUUUUGUUCUUGGCGUUGGAGGUCCUGUUCUCCCCUGAACAGGCCGCCGAAAUGUAUCGGCUGUUAUACUUGCCAACUCCCCUGUGUAGUAUAAAAUUUCUAAUUUUUACACUUUGAAGUUCUUGUGUAACACGCCGCUAAACCCGCUCAACUUUUGUUGAACUUUUCACAAGGUUGACCUCGGAUCAGGUAGGAAUACCCGCUGAACUUAAGCAUAUCAAUAAGCGGAGGAA